UCAGGAAUUUUGGACAAUGGGGGAAACCCUGAUCCAGCCAUGCCGCGUGAGUGACGAAGGCCUUAGGGUUGUAAAACUCUUUCGUCGGGGACGAUAAUGACGGUACCCGAAGAAGAAGCUCCGGCUAACUUCGUGCCAGCAGCCGCGGUAAUACGUAGGGUGCGAGCGUUAAUCGGAAUUACUGGGCGUAAAGCGUGCGCAGGCGGCUUUGCAAGACAGAUGUGAAAUCCCCGGGCUCAACCUGGGAACUGCAUUUGUGACUGCAAGGCUAGAGUACGGUAGAGGGGGAUGGAAUUCCGCGUGUAGCAGUGAAAUGCGUAGAUAUGCGGAGGAACACCGAUGGCGAAGGCAAUCCCCUGGACCUGUACUGACGCUCAUGCACGAAAGCGUGGGGAGCAAACAGGAUUAGAUACCCCCGUAGUCCCUGAGCGGGCUGGCAAGGCGCAU
RNAcentral lists this ribosomal RNA (447 nucleotides) under uncultured bacterium. RNAcentral's name for it is "bacterial SSU rRNA". It matches the Rfam family "Bacterial small subunit ribosomal RNA", at positions 355 to 825 of the family's 1533-position model. The record is from RNAcentral.